AUGGCCGGAGCAGCAAACGAUCUGAAGCUACUGGGCAUGUGGGCGAGCCCGUACGUCCUGCGGGUGCGCCUUGCUCUCAGCAUCAAGAGCAUCAGCUACGAGUACGCAGAGGAGGACCUCCGGCACAAGAGCGAGCUGCUCCUGCGGUCAAACCCCGUCCACAACAAGGUCCCCGUGCUGAUCCACGCCGGCAAGCCCGUCUGCGAGUCGCUGGUCAUCCUACAGUACAUCGACGACGCUUUCGGCGGUGCCGGCCCCGCCCUCCUCCCGGCCGAUCCCCACGAGCGCGCCGUCGCCCGGUUCUGGGCCGCCUUCAUCGAGGACACGCUCGUGAAGGCGAUGAACCAGGCGUCAUGGAGCAAGACGGAGGCGGAGAAGGUGGAGGGGAACAAACGGGCGACUGCUGCGUUGAACACCCUGGAGGCGGCCCUGAGGGAUGUCUCCAAGGGGAAGCCCUUCUUCGGGGGCGACAGCACCGGGUAUGUGGACAUCGUGCUCGGCGGCCUCCUCGCGGGGGUGCGCGCCAUGGAGGCGAUGCCGGGCGUCAAGGCCUUCGACCCCGUCACGAUGCCGCUCCUGGCCGCGUGGGCGGACCACUUCGGCGCGCUGGACGCGGUGGCGGCCGUGAUGCCGGACGUGAGCAAGCUCGUGGAGCUCUUCAUCACGAUGCACGCUGCUGUUGCGGCAAACUAA
Molecule: ribosomal RNA, 693 nt
Filed under: Triticum aestivum (bread wheat)
Lineage: Eukaryota; Viridiplantae; Streptophyta; Magnoliopsida; Poales; Poaceae
Description: partial small subunit ribosomal RNA
Source: RNAcentral